AAAAAAAAAACUAAUAAUAAUAAAUCAAGAAACAGGAAAACACAAACUGUCCUUCCUUCUUUUUCAUGGAGCACCCACCACCAACCAUCUUCGUUUCCCCUGAACCCCCACCCUUCCCUGCACCUCCCAGAAGCGUAGAUUUAUCUCCUCUAGAGUUCAUUCUUGGCAUCAUCGCUGUUAUCACCAUCCCUGCCUUGAUC
Molecule: unclassified non-coding RNA, 200 nt
Filed under: Hevea brasiliensis (rubber tree)
Lineage: Eukaryota; Viridiplantae; Streptophyta; Magnoliopsida; Malpighiales; Euphorbiaceae
Source: RNAcentral